Molecule: long non-coding RNA, 281 nt
Filed under: Homo sapiens (human)
Lineage: Eukaryota; Metazoa; Chordata; Mammalia; Primates; Hominidae
Description: HSALNT0294904
Source: RNAcentral
UUGAGGGCACUUGCACUGUGUGCAGUUGUGCUGGCUCAUGCCACAUGACAGGAUAGGAGCCCUGUAGGAAGACAGUGCAGCUUUGUCCAACAGAGUGUGGCCAAGCUGUGCACCCAAGGGCUGCCCUUGCUGGGAGAAAGGCACGCCUUCUUCUUGACACAAAGCCUGGUGAAGCUUUUUCUGCCCACAAAGACAUCUUCUGCAUGCCAAGCCAUCAGCCUGCUUAAGGAACCUGAGCUCCACAGGACUCAAUGAAAAAGCAACUGUAACAGAAGAGAUAG